AUGACGGACGGCAACCACCGAGGCAGUGACGAGCUUGCUGCCCUGGAGAAGGUGUUGCUGGAUGAAAGCACGGAUCCAGUCAAUCUACCUUUCUCGCUUCUCAAAGCCAUUACAGGGAAUUUCUCCGAAUCUCACGAAAUCGGUAGGGGCGGGUUCGGGGUGGUCUACAAGGGAGUGCUUCCAAGUGGUCGCACCGUCGCCGUGAAGCAGCUCUUCGAAAGGUACGAGAUCCUCGACAAGACUUUCGAUAGCGAGAUUGACUGUCUUGCGGGCCUCAAGCACAAGAAUACGGUGCGAUUUCUUGGGUAUUCCUCCGAGACGCAGUAUUUACGAAGGCUGUGCGACGGGAAGCUUCAGUGGGUAGCCAAGCGGCAGAGGCUGCUCUGCUUUGAGUACCUGCCCAAAGGGUGUCUUGCUGGCUAUCUCUCCGAUGCAUCUUGUGGACUUCAUUGGACCACACGUUAUCAAAUAAUCAAGGGGAUCUGUGAGGGCGUACAUUAUCUUCACCAGCACCGCAUUAUUCACAGGGACCUCAAACCUCAGAAUGUACUAUUGGAUGAUAACAUGAUUCCCAAAAUUGCGGAUUUCGGACUAUCGCGACACUUAAGUGAAAGCCAGAGUCGGGAUAUCACUGAAAACAAGUUUGGAACAAUGGGAUAUAUGGCACCAAAAUUCUUUAAUAAGGGAGAAAUCACCUUCAAGACAGACGUAUAUAGUUUGGGUGCUAUAAUAAUGGAUAUUCUUAUGGGACAAAAGGAAUGCUCCGAUGUUAAGGAGGUAGUUGAAAGUUGGACGGACAAGUUUGGGACAUCAAAGAGUCAUACAUCACAGGAAGAAGUAAAGUUAUGUGCUGAGAUAGGGAUAAAAUGCAGGAACUAUGACCCCCGGAACAGGCCUGCUACAUGGUCUAUCAUCCAUGGAAUACUGGAUGAAGCGGAAAUUUCGAACUGGUCUGUUACAAGUGAUGUAGCUACCUCUACAGAAGGGCAGAUAAGACUUGCCUCCAUGCGGGCGGAUGAGCUGAAGUUGAUGGAUGAUUCUGCUACACCAUCCCAACAACAAGCAUCAACGCUGGAAGUGGGGCAGGAGGGUGGCAAAGUGAGCCAAGAGAGGAAAAGGAAGUCAUCAACCAUAAGCUUCUCCAAGAUGGCAGAUGAGUUAAGGUUGAUGGGCGAUUCCGCUGCACCAUCCCAACUGCAACCUUCGGCACUGGAGGUGGAGCAAGAGGAUGGCAAAGUGAGCCAAGAGAAGAAGAGGAAGACAAGCUUCUUUGGGCUGGCGGAUGAGAAGAAGUUGAUAGAUGAUUCUGCUGCACCAUCCCAAUUGCAACCAUUAGCGCGGGAGGUGGAGCUGGUGGAUGGCAAAGUUAGCCUAGAGAGGGAAGGGAAGGCAGCAAGCGUGAGUGUGGUGACUGGGGUGAUAAGCACCCCCAGUGGCAAGCUUGCCACAUUAAUGUGCGAUGAGUACAAUAAGCACAAAGAGGUGAGGAAGCAGGUGUCCUUCCUUGAGAACGAGUUGAGCAGCAUAAACGCUGCCCUUGAGCAGCCGGAGCUCAUGGAUGAGCUCGCUGUAGUGGUAAAAAAUUGGAGGGAUGAUGUCAGGGAGAUUUCAUACGACAUGCAGAAUUGCAUUGAUGACUUCAUGUGCCAAUUUGGAGGUGAGGAUGCCGAGGUAGGUUUAAUCGAGGAGGUUGCUGAACUUCACAAGAGGUUGUCUGAGCUUCAUGGAAUUGCCAACCAGAUGGGAGAGCUUAGGAGUCUUGUGGUAGAAGCAAAUGCUCGGCGUGAGAGUUACAAGAUUGAUGAUUGCAAUCCUAGCUUUGGUUAUGUGUCUGUCGACGCUCGUCUGCGAGCGGUCUACCAGGAGGCGACCAAUCUUGUGGGCAUUGAAGGCCCUAGCAAGGAGGUUGUUAGUUUGUUGAUGAAUACUCAGAAGAAACUAAAGGUUGUGUCCAUUGUUGGUUUUGGAGGCCUGGGUAAAACUACACUUGCCAAACAGGUGUUUAACAAGAUAACGGGGCAUUUCGAUUGUUUGGCAUUCUUUUCAGUUUCGCAGAGGCCUGAUUUGAGAAUGCUUCUCAAUCGCCUACAAUUGAAACUUGGGAUAAAUGUCUCUUCUCACAAUUGCGGGCUUGACGACAUCAUUGAAAAGCUAAGGAAGUAUCUCACAGACAAAAGGUACCUUAUUGUAGUUGAUGACUUGUGGGAUCAAUCAGCAUGGAGAACUAUUAGUUGUGCUUUUCCACAAAAUGGAAAUGGGAGUAGAAUAAUUUUAACCACACGAGUGGAAAAUGUGGCUAGCAUAGCCUGUAACAAUGACCGUGAGUGCAUUUACACAAUGAAGCCCCUCAGUGAACAUAACUCAAGAAUGUUAUUCUCCAAUAGAGUAUUUGGGUCUGAAGUUGUUUGUCCACCCCAUCUUAAAGAUGUUGCGGCUGAAAUUCUGAAGAAGUGUGGUGGUAUGCCGCUCGCAAUUAUCACUAUAGCUAGCCUAUUAGCUACUCAAGUGAAAUCAAGGAAACACUGGGAGAGCAUAAGGAAAUAUUUGCGUGUCCAACCUGCCACAAAUCCUUCAUUGGAAGAGAUAAAAAGUAUAUUAAACCUUAGCUACAAACAUCUUCCUCUUCAUCUUCGGGCAUGUUAUUUGUACCUUGGUAUGUAUCCCGAGGACCACAUCAUAAUACGGGAUCAGUUGGUUAAACAGUGGAUAGCUGAAGGCUUGGUCAGCAGUUUGCAUGGGCCUGAUUUAGAGGAUGUUGGCAGGAGUUAUUUCAAUGAGCUAGUCAAUAGAAGCAUGAUUCAGCCAAGCGAAAUUAGCUACGGAGAGGUGUUGUCUUGCACAGUACACGACAUGAUGCUUGAUUUGAUCCUAAGCAAGUGUGUAGAAGAUAAUUUUAUAAGUGUGGCAUACAAUUCUGAGGACAUGGCAAGACUACUGCAUCGCUGCAAAAACAAGGUUCGCCGAUUAUCCCUGAGCUCCAUGGCUGUUGGUGGAGCUACAUAUGACACGGCUAUUGCUGCUAGGCUGUCACGAGUUCGAUCAUUACUGUUCAAGAAGGGGUGUAAUCCUAUACUCCCUCUUUUGUGGUUCAAGUACCUCAGGGUUCUGAUCCUUUUGAAUGAGCGCUAUAGAUGGAAGAUAGUUGACCUCACCGCUGUUAGCCAGUUGUUCCACCUGAGGUGUCUGAUGGUAAGUGUUUAUGUGGAGAUAAAGCUCCCUACUAAACUUGGUGAGCUUGUUUACUUGGAGACAAUGGACAUAGAAAAUUGCAAACUGCUGGAGAGAAUCCCCUCGGAUAUAGUUCGUUUGCCCCGCCUGUCCUAUCUGCUGCUUCCAACUGAGACAAAGCUGCCUGAAGGUAUCGGGAAUAUGAAAUCACUGCGGACUCUGAGAGGGCUUGACAUGAAAAAGAGCUCGCUGGAGUGUUUUAUGGGUCUCGGUGAGCUGACCAAUCUGAGGGAUCUGCGUAUGUCAAUAGAUAUUGGUUUGGAGUUGCCGAAAGUUGAUGCUUUGGCCUGUUCCAUUGGAAAGCUCUAUAACCUUGAAUAUCUGUUCAUCUCUGGCAAUCUUGUUGAGCGUGAGGAUAGCCAGCAGCUGGGCUCAUUAUUUAAUCCUCUUCAACAUAUUGAGCAUCUUGAAUUGCCUGAUUGGCGGUUAUGGAGAGUUCCAAAAUGGUUGUGUGGUCUCCACUGCCUGCGCUUCCUUGAGUUGUAUGUUGAAAAGACAUCAACUCAGGAUGUUCAUCUGCUUGGAGAGCUUCCCUGCCUCGUCUACCUGGAUUUCGAAGCAUGUGAAAUCCCUGAUGAAAGAGCUAUGUUAGGCGCGGGGCUAUUCCCAGUUCUGGAGUCCCUAAAAUUCUGGUCUAGCGAAGACACUACAGCGUACCUGGGCUUCGAGGCAGGUGCUAUGCCCAGUUCACGAACACUUUGGAUGGCUGCGUGCCACUGGGGCGGGACUGCACCAGUCGGCAUGGAGCACUUGUUACACCUCCAGCAGAUCCAAGUGCGUGGGGUCUGCAAUUAUAAGGAUACUGAUGACGCAUUCAAGGAGGCCUUGCUGAUGCACCCUAACCGCCCUUCCGUCACAAUUCAUCCUUUAUAG
RNAcentral lists this ribosomal RNA (4101 nucleotides) under Triticum aestivum (bread wheat). RNAcentral describes it as "partial small subunit ribosomal RNA". Lineage: Eukaryota; Viridiplantae; Streptophyta; Magnoliopsida; Poales; Poaceae. The record is from RNAcentral.